UGCAGUCGAGCGGUAACAGAUCCAGCUUGCUGGAUGCUGACGAGCGGCGGACGGGUGAGUAAUGCAUAGGAAUCUGCCCGAUAGUGGGGGAUAACCUGGGGAAACCCAGGCUAAUACCGCAUACGUCCUACGGGAGAAAGGGGGCUCCGGCUCCCGCUAUGGGAUGAGCCUAUGUCGGAUUAGCUAGUUGGUGAGGUAACGGCUCACCAAGGCCACGAUCCGUAGCUGGUCUGAGAGGAUGAUCAGCCACAUCGGGACUGAGACACGGCCCGAACUCCUACGGGAGGCAGCAGUGGGGAAUAUUGGACAAUGGGGGAAACCCUGAUCCAGCCAUGCCGCGUGUGUGAAGAAGGCCCUCGGGUUGUAAAGCACUUUCAGCGAGGAAGAACGCCUAGCGGUUAAUACCCGCUAGGAAAGACAUCACUCGCAGAAGAAGCACCGGCUAACUCCGUGCCAGCAGCCGCGGUAAUACGGAGGGUGCAAGCGUUAAUCGGAAUUACUGGGCGUAAAGCGCGCGUAGGUGGCUUGAUAAGCCGGUUGUGAAAGCCCCGGGCUCAACCUGGGAACGGCAUCCGGAACUGUCAAGCUAGAGUGCAGGAGAGGAAGGUAGAAUUCCCGGUGUAGCGGUGAAAUGCGUAGAGAUCGGGAGGAAUACCAGUGGCGAAGGCGGCCUUCUGGACUGACACUGACACUGAGGUGCGAAAGCGUGGGUAGCAAACAGGAUUAGAUACCCUGGUAGUCCACGCCGUAAACGAUGUCGACCAGCCGUUGGGUGCCUAGCGCACUUUGUGGCGAAGUUAACGCGAUAAGUCGACCGCCUGGGGAGUACGGCCGCAAGGUUAAAACUCAAAUGAAUUGACGGGGGCCCGCACAAGCGGUGGAGCAUGUGGUUUAAUUCGAUGCAACGCGAAGAACCUUACCUACUCUUGACAUCCUGCGAAUUUGGUAGAGAUACCUUAGUGCCUUCGGGAACGCAAAGACAGGUGCUGCAUGGCUGUCGUCAGCUCGUGUUGUGAAAUGUUGGGUUAAGUCCCGUAACGAGCGCAACCCUUGUCCUUAUUUGCCAGCGCGUAAUGGCGGGAA
RNAcentral lists this ribosomal RNA (1083 nucleotides) under Halomonas sp. RNAcentral's name for it is "bacterial SSU rRNA". It matches the Rfam family "Bacterial small subunit ribosomal RNA", at positions 56 to 1137 of the family's 1533-position model. Lineage: Bacteria; Pseudomonadati; Pseudomonadota; Gammaproteobacteria; Oceanospirillales; Halomonadaceae. The record is from RNAcentral.